Molecule: ribosomal RNA, 394 nt
Filed under: uncultured bacterium
Lineage: Bacteria
Description: bacterial SSU rRNA
Rfam family: Bacterial small subunit ribosomal RNA
Source: RNAcentral
GAUGAACGCUGGCGGCAUGCCUAAUACAUGCAAGUCGAACGAGAGGAAGGAAAGCUUGCUUUCCUGAAUCUAGUGGCGAACGGGUGAGUAACACGUAGGUAACCUGCCCAUGUGCCCGGGAUAACUUCUGGAAACGGAUGCUAAAACCGGAUAGGUAGCAGACAAGCAUUUGACUGCUAUUAAAGUGGCCUUGGCCAUGAACAUGGAUGGACCUGCGGUGCAUUAGCUGGUUGGUGAGGUAACGGCCCACCAAGGCGACGAUGCAUAGCUGGUCUGAGAGGAUGACCAGCCACACUGGAACUGAGACACGGUCCAGACUCCUACGGGAGGCAGCAGUGGGGAAUAUUGCACAAUGGGCGCAAGCCUGAUGCAGCCAUGCCGCGUGUAUGAAGAA